AGGAAAAUGUAGCAUUUUUAAACUGGAAGGGAAACUCGAAGUUUGAAUAAAUAAAAAUGUCAAGGAAAAUUCAGCUUCUGAACUCGAUGUUGGAACAAAGAUGUCAAGGAAAAUUCUGUUUCUAAACUCCAAUGAAAACUCUCGGUACAAGGAGACAAAGAGUCACUUGUCGUCAUGCAGUCGUCACGUAGUCGUCUUGUCUAAAACACACAGCCUUGUAGAAAAGUCAUUGAGAACAUGGCAAUUGUCAACAGCAGUAUUAAUCAGUUUACCGAUAAUGCAAUGGAGCAUCUUGGAAAAUUGUAUCAAACUUCUAUCUCCAACCACGGAAACAGUUUCAAAUAAACGAGUUGCUCUGGUGCGUUCAACCCUCUACAGUCGAUACGCGCCACCCCUUUAGAGUUGCGAUAUUAUCU
Molecule: unclassified non-coding RNA, 416 nt
Filed under: Bombus terrestris (buff-tailed bumblebee)
Lineage: Eukaryota; Metazoa; Arthropoda; Insecta; Hymenoptera; Apidae
Description: misc RNA ENSBTSG00005026405.1
Source: RNAcentral